GAACGGUUGGCUCAGUGGAAGAGUGCUUGCAUGUAAUGCGAGAGGUCGCGGGUUCGAGUCCCACAUUGUUCA
Non-coding RNA from Leptidea sinapis, 72 nucleotides. The record is from the annotation of a RefSeq genome assembly. NCBI's taxonomy places the organism in Eukaryota, Metazoa, Arthropoda, Insecta, Lepidoptera, Pieridae.